Long non-coding RNA from Pseudopipra pipra, 921 nucleotides. RefSeq lists it as uncharacterized. Lineage: Eukaryota; Metazoa; Chordata; Aves; Passeriformes; Pipridae. The record is from RefSeq and is a predicted model, not a curated record. The transcript has 2 exons.
AGCUCUAUCCUAUAUUCCUAAACCAAUAGUUCCCUCAGCUACAUCCCAACCGCCCUCCAGUGAGACUUUCUCCCAAUUUCCCUCUGUCAUGACAAGAACAACAAAACCACAGGACGGGACACAGUCACAAUCAGCUGUGAUGUCCCACAAGUGGAGAUCUCACUGUGGAAGAGGAGGAGAAGGGUCUUCAGACUCACCUGGUUCCCAAGCAGAAGGAGAUAAGAGAAGUGGAUGAGACAGCAGGGGCUGGCGCUGCCUUUUCUACCUGCCCCUCACUGCUGCAGGACCAGGGGCAGCCUUUGCAGAGAUUUCUUCCAUGCUCAUGCCUCUGUGAAGGCUUCUUGUGAUUUUUGGGAUGAAAUGUUCCAGGAUUUCCAGGACAAUGGAGUCGUAAAUGUCGGGAGUAGACUCAGCUCCAGGGCUGGAUGGAUCCGGAGCAGGCAAGUGAUGUGUCAGUCUGGAUCACUCUGAUGGGCUUGUUUGAAGUGCUGCUUUCAAGAAGAAGUUGCAGCAAUCCUCCGUGGAUACCCAAGGACUCCUGGGCAUGAGGAUGGGCCAUGUCAUUCCCUUUCCCUCCCUCCUCAGCUCACCCCAACAGUCACUGGUUGUUGCCUCUCUACGUGUGUGCUUUGGGCGGCUGCUUUGACCCCGUCCUGCCUGACACUGCCCUCAGGAAAGCAUUCGGGCCUCUUCUGACUUCUGCCACACUGGUUAGUCUCUGAGCACACAAACAGUGCCACGGGCUUGCCUGGAGCCUUGUCCUUCCCAGCCCUGCGGUGUUGUCCCCAGGUGUCCUCAGCAGAGUCCAUGGUUGGUUGUUUUCCUACGUGGUUUCCUGGUUUGUGUGCACUUGUGUGCAGCUGGGUUCCACAGGAAUCCAUGUGGGAGCACAAAUUUGUGCAUGAGUCCACACCAAUGUGC